Molecule: ribosomal RNA, 3043 nt
Filed under: Providencia stuartii
Lineage: Bacteria; Pseudomonadati; Pseudomonadota; Gammaproteobacteria; Enterobacterales; Morganellaceae
Description: 23S ribosomal RNA
Rfam family: Bacterial large subunit ribosomal RNA
Source: RNAcentral
GGGUUGUGAGGUUAAGCGACUAAGCGUACACGGUGGAUGCCUAGGCAAUCAGAGGCGAUGAAGGACGUGCUAAUCUGCGAAAAGCGUCGGUAAGGUGAUAUGAACCGUUAUAACCGACGAUGUCCGAAUGGGGAAACCCAGUGCAAUUCGUUGCACUAUCGUUUGAUGAAUCCAUAGUCAAACGAGGCGAACCGGGGGAACUGAAACAUCUCAGUACCCCGAGGAAAAGAAAUCAACCGAGAUUCCCCUAGUAGCGGCGAGCGAACGGGGAGCAGCCCAGAGUCUUAAUCAGUAUCAGCAUCAGGAGAACGGUCUGGAAAGGCCGGCAAUAAAGGGUGAUAGCCCCGUAUCCGAAGGUGUUGGUGUUGUGAACUCGAUGAGUAGGGCGGGACACGUGUUAUCCUGUCUGAAUAUGGGGGGACCAUCCUCCAAGGCUAAAUACUCCUGAUUGACCGAUAGUGAACCAGUACCGUGAGGGAAAGGCGAAAAGAACCCCGGCGAGGGGAGUGAAAUAGAACCUGAAACCGUGUACGUACAAGCAGUGGGAGCCCCACCACUAAGCCAGUGGUGAGUCAUCACAGCGUCAUCCUUACUUGAUGGCGGUUGGCGGAACGUCCUUUGUGACGCCCAACCGAAAAAAAUCAAGCAAAGGGGGCUUAGUGGUGGGGUGACUGCGUACCUUUUGUAUAAUGGGUCAGCGACUUAUAUUCUGUAGCAAGGUUAACCGAAUAGGGGAGCCGUAGGGAAACCGAGUCUUAACUGGGCGAAUGAGUUGCAGGGUAUAGACCCGAAACCCGGUGAUCUAGCCAUGGGCAGGUUGAAGGUUGGGUAACACUAACUGGAGGACCGAACCGACUAAUGUUGAAAAAUUAGCGGAUGACUUGUGGCUGGGGGUGAAAGGCCAAUCAAACCGGGAGAUAGCUGGUUCUCCCCGAAAGCUAUUUAGGUAGCGCCUCGUGAACUCAUCUUCGGGGGUAGAGCACUGUUUCGGCUAGGGGGUCAUCCCGACUUACCAACCCGAUGCAAACUACGAAUACCGAAGAAUGUUAUCACGGGAGACACACGGCGGGUGCUAACGUUCGUCGUGAAGAGGGAAACAACCCAGACCGCCAGCUAAGGUCCCAAAGUCAUGGUUAAGUGGGAAACGAAGUGGGAAGGCUCAGACAGCCAGGAUGUUGGCUUAGAAGCAGCCAUCAUUUAAAGAAAGCGUAAUAGCUCACUGGUCGAGUCGGCCUGCGCGGAAGAUGUAACGGGGCUAAACCAUGCACCGAAGCUGCGGCAGCGACAUUUAGAUGUUGUUGGGUAGGGGAGCGUUCUGUAAGCCUGUGAAGGUGUGCUGCGAGGCAUGCUGGAGGUAUCAGAAGUGCGAAUGCUGACAUAAGUAACGAUAAUGCGGGUGAAAAACCCGCACGCCGGAAGACCAAGGGUUCCUGUCCAACGUUAAUCGGGGCAGGGUGAGUCGACCCCUAAGGCGAGGCAGAAAUGCGUAGUCGAUGGGAAACAGGUUAAUAUUCCUGUACUGGUGAUAAUUGCGAUGGGGGGACGGAGAAGGCUAGGCUGGCCGGGCGACGGUUGUCCCGGUUUAAGGAUGUAGGUGGGCGAAUUAGGCAAAUCCGGUUCGCUAUACACUGAGGUCUGAUGACGAGUCACUACGGUGGCGAAGUAGCUCAUGCCCCGCUUCCAGGAAAAGCCUCUAAGCUCUAGAUUAUCAUUAAUCGUACCCCAAACCGACACAGGUGGUCAGGUAGAGAAUACUCAGGCGCUUGAGAGAACUCGGGUGAAGGAACUAGGCAAAAUGGUGCCGUAACUUCGGGAGAAGGCACGCUGGCAUUAGGUGAAGUGGUUUACUCAUGGAGCUGAAGCCAGUCGCAGAUACCAGCUGGCUGCAACUGUUUAUUAAAAACACAGCACUGUGCAAACACGAAAGUGGACGUAUACGGUGUGACGCCUGCCCGGUGCUGGAAGGUUAAUUGAUGGGGUUAUCCGUAAGGAGAAGCUCUUGAUCGAAGCCCCAGUAAACGGCGGCCGUAACUAUAACGGUCCUAAGGUAGCGAAAUUCCUUGUCGGGUAAGUUCCGACCUGCACGAAUGGCGUAAUGAUGGCCAGGCUGUCUCCACCCGAGACUCAGUGAAAUUGAACUCGCUGUGAAGAUGCAGUGUACCCGCGGCAAGACGGAAAGACCCCGUGAACCUUUACUAUAGCUUGACACUGAACAUUGAGCCUUGAUGUGUAGGAUAGGUGGGAGGCUUUGAAGUGUGGACGCCAGUCUGCAUGGAGCCAACCUUGAAAUACCACCCUUUAAUGUUUGAUGUUCUAACGUAGCCCCAUAAUCUGGGGUGCGGACAGUGUCUGGUGGGUAGUUUGACUGGGGCGGUCUCCUCCCAAAGCGUAACGGAGGAGCACGAAGGUUGGCUAAGCAUGGUCGGACAUCAUGCGGUUAGUGCAAAGGCAUAAGCCAGCUUGACUGCGAGAGUGACGGCUCGAGCAGGUACGAAAGUAGGUCUUAGUGAUCCGGUGGUUCUGAAUGGAAGGGCCAUCGCUCAACGGAUAAAAGGUACUCCGGGGAUAACAGGCUGAUACCGCCCAAGAGUUCAUAUCGACGGCGGUGUUUGGCACCUCGAUGUCGGCUCAUCACAUCCUGGGGCUGAAGUAGGUCCCAAGGGUAUGGCUGUUCGCCAUUUAAAGUGGUACGCGAGCUGGGUUUAGAACGUCGUGAGACAGUUCGGUCCCUAUCUGCCGUGGGCGUUGGAAGAUUGAAAGGGGCUGCUCCUAGUACGAGAGGACCGGAGUGGACGCACCGCUGGUGUUCGGGUUGUCAUGCCAAUGGCACUGCCCGGUAGCUAAGUGCGGAAGAGAUAACCGCUGAAAGCAUCUAAGCGGGAAACUUGCCUUGAGAUGAGUCUUCCCUGACUCUUUAAGGGUCCUAAAGGAACGUUUAAGACGAAGACGUUGAUAGGCUGGGUGUGUAAGCGUAGCGAUACGUUGAGCUAACCAGUACUAAUGAACCGUGAGGCUUAACCUGACAACACCGAAGGUGUUUUAG